This 332-nucleotide unclassified non-coding RNA is filed under the name soil metagenome. Its description in RNAcentral is "partial contains 5.8S ribosomal RNA, internal transcribed spacer 2, and large subunit ribosomal RNA". The stretch from base 1 to 120 matches the Rfam family "5.8S ribosomal RNA", at positions 35 to 154 of the family's 154-position model. The record is from RNAcentral.
GAUGAAGAACGUAGCGAAAUGCGAUACGUAAUGUGAAUUGCAGAUUUCAGUGAAUCAUCGAAUCUUUGAACGCACAUUGCGCCCGCUAGUAUUCUGGUGGGCAUGCCUGUUCGAGCGUCAUUUCAACCAUCAAGCCCUAGGCUUGCGUUGGAGCCCUGCGGCUGCCGCAGGCUCCCAAAUCCAGUGGCGGGCUCGUCGUCGUACCGAGUGCAGUAAACAUCCUCGCUCAGGGAACGUGACGGGUUCUUGCCGUGAAACCCCCCACAUAUCAAGGUUGACCUCGGAUCAGGUAGGAAUACCCGCUGAACUUAAGCAUAUCAAUAAGCGGAGGA